GUCCACGCCGUAAACGUUGGGCGCUAGGUGUGGGGCUCUUUCCACGAGUUCCGUGCCGCAGCAAACGCAUUAAGCGCCCCGCCUGGGGAGUACGGCCGCAAGGCUAAAACUCAAAGGAAUUGACGGGGGCCCGCACAAGCGGCGGAGCAUGCGGAUUAAUUCGAUGCAACGCGAAGAACCUUACCAAGGCUUGACAUGGGCAGUAAUCCGGCAGAGAUGUCGGGUCCGUAAGGGCUGUUCACAGGUGGUGCAUGGUUGUCGU
This 262-nucleotide ribosomal RNA is filed under the name uncultured bacterium. RNAcentral's name for it is "partial 16S ribosomal RNA". It matches the Rfam family "Bacterial small subunit ribosomal RNA", at positions 793 to 1055 of the family's 1533-position model. The record is from RNAcentral.